GCCUUGGGUUCCGAUAUCCUCCGUCAAUUCCUCGGUCUCCGGUACUUAUCCAAUGAGAGGCUCCGUCACCGGGGUGGUUCAAAUUGAACACCGAUGAAGCAUCAAUGGGAAAUCCCGGGCUAGCGGAAGCCGCCGGUGCUAUUCGAGAUUUAUUUAGGACGGUCGUCUUAGCCUUUCAGUUGCCGAUCCCCUUGGCGACAAACACAUUUGCGAACAUUGGACUUUGCAAGAGUGCUUCCUCCGACUUCGAUUGCGAUUGCGUGGCAUCACUUGGCGGAUCUCCCACAUCUAUCGGGAGGGAAACUGAGUGGCAGAUGCACUGUGGACAAAGGCGUGUUCUAUUUCACAUGAUCGGAUACUUAGCUUCUCCGGGCGGAUGCGGCUGGUAUUCCGAGUUUCAGAUUUCGGUGCUAGCAAGAAGAGCAAAAAAAAAAAGAUGUCGAGUAUGUUUCGUAAUGAAGACAUUGGGAAACGAAAUGAUCUUCAGGGAUCUGUUAAAGUACCAUCGCUAGUGAUCCCCGUGGACAAUAAUGUAGGUGCGGGACCUUCGAACACUACCUCGUCCUUGAGGUUCGGUGAACAACAAGAGCUGGUAGGGCCCUUUGCGAAUGAUCUAAAGCGUUCACUUAGGGCCAAGAAGGCCAAAGCUGCGAAAAGGACAAAUAAUCAACGACAGAGACGAAUACAAAAGAGUAAGAUUGAUUGUUCAAGCAACAAAAGAUGGUCAAAAUUUAAGGCAGAAGACCGCAAAAGAGAUUUGUAAAGAGAAGAAGAGUAUGAGCAUUCAAUAAAGAUUAACAAAGAGUAUGCAAAUAUAGCAAAAGAGGUUGCAGACAUUAACGAACGGUUAAUGAAGGCUGAAGCGAGGUUGGAGGAAUUGGAUAAGGACAAUCUGGACACUUUUUUGUAAGAGACGCAAUAUGAAAUACGGAAGGAACAAGUGCAACAUUACACACGCGCCCUCACAAGGUUGAGAGCAACACUACAAUCUAUUCAUGAGACAAGUCCUACCAAAGCGGAUAUGGCACAUGCAAGCGGUAGACGCAAUGCCAAUAGGAAGUGACUUUUCAACGACACGAGUGGAUCAGAAUGUUCUCCUGAAAAAUGAAACAUCCAUAAUGUUUGCGUAUGCAAGCCAUUUUUCAUUUGUGCUAUGUGUUUGAUCAAGGAUUGUGAUACCCCGUACUUUGUCUCUUUUUCCUUUGAACUAUUGCAAUAUUUAAUUUUAAUGGAAAAUAUG
This is a long non-coding RNA of Andrographis paniculata, 1240 nucleotides long. RefSeq lists it as uncharacterized. Lineage: Eukaryota; Viridiplantae; Streptophyta; Magnoliopsida; Lamiales; Acanthaceae. The record is from RefSeq and is a predicted model, not a curated record. The transcript is spliced from 4 exons.